Molecule: ribosomal RNA, 468 nt
Filed under: uncultured bacterium
Lineage: Bacteria
Description: partial 16S ribosomal RNA
Rfam family: Bacterial small subunit ribosomal RNA
Source: RNAcentral
GACGAACGCUGGCGGCGUGCUUAACACAUGCAAGUCGAACGGAAAGGCCCUGCUUUUGUGGGGUGCUCGAGUGGCGAACGGGUGAGUAACACGUGAGUAACCUGCCCUUGACUUUGGGAUAACUUCAGGAAACUGGGGCUAAUACCGGAUAGGAGCUCCUGCUGCAUGGUGGGGGUUGGAAAGUUUCGGCGGUUGGGGAUGGACUCGCGGCUUAUCAGCUUGUUGGUGGGGUAGUGGCUUACCAAGGCUUUGACGGGUAGCCGGCCUGAGAGGGUGGCCGGCCACAUUGGGACUGAGAUACGGCCCAGACUCCUACAGGAGGCAACAGUGGGGAAUAUUGCACAAUGGGCGGAAGCCUGAUGCAGCGACGCCGCGUGCGGGAUGACGGCCUUCGGGUUGUAAACCGCUUUCGCCUGUGACGAAGCGUGAGUGACGGUAAUGGGUAAAGAAGCACCGGCUAACUACGUG